Cyprinus carpio carpio is the source of this 1991-nucleotide long non-coding RNA. The record is from Ensembl. Lineage: Eukaryota; Metazoa; Chordata; Actinopteri; Cypriniformes; Cyprinidae.
CACAGAACGACACCAUCCUACACACUUGCAGUUAAACAGGGGAGGACACGUUCACGCUGCAUUCAGUGCAGCUCAAGCUGGAGGCCAUGGAGAAGCAGAUUCACAACCUGGUGAAGAAGCAGGCCCAGCUGAGAGAGCGGAGAGCCGCACUGGAAACAUCCCUGGCUGACGAUCACAAGUCCAGGGCCUGGUACAACCAGGACACUAUCUUCCCAGAUGUCCUUCACUCCUGCGCUGGUACACUACGGACCCUGGGUGCACCUGCAGCGGAAGACAUGAGCCAGUGAGACUCCAUCGUCCGGCACGUCCAUGCUACGUUAGCCGAAGGUAAAGUGCACACUCACUGUUUCCCUGGUGCUCAUGUACCUGCAAUCCUGAAGGGAGACCGGAUUAUAAGCACCGGAGCGGUCAUGCUUCAUGCCAGGGUUAACGACACCAAGUUGCGGCAGACAGAGACACUGAAGAGGGACUUCAGGAGCCUGAUCGAGAUGGUGCGCAGCACAUUACCCGCAAUGACGAUCAUUGUCAGCACCGCUUCCCACGUAUCGACAAGGACAUGAAAGGUUCAGUAGACUUUUUGCUUUAAAUGAAUGGUUAUUAUAAUGGUGUAAAGAACAGAAACUGCUCUUUGUUAAUAAUUGGAAUCUUUUCUGGAAGCGUCCUAGGCUUUUCGCGCUGAUGGCCUGUGUGACGGGAGGAGCAAACGACAGACACAGUGGGCAUGGCGUCAGGCCUCGGAGAGGUUUUUAUUAACAGAAAAUAAGCCAAAAGAGGGAAUAAAGUGUCCAAAAGGGGAGGAGUGUCCAACACAACAGGGAAUCAGGUGUCCUCGUCGUGCUGCGGGGUUCGUGAGGGUCUGGCAGUGUUCACAGAGGGAAGUGUCCAGGUAUGGGGCGGAGUCCGGCGGUCGCACGCGCUCCCCUCUUGGGUCCGGGGCGCGAGGGGCGGCGGCUCCUUCUAGCGGCCGCAUCCUUCUCGUUGGCCGCGGCGCCUGCAGGGGAUGGACGGCCUGGCAUUCUGGCCUGAUGGCCGUAUAAACGGGUGCGGUCCUCAUCUGGACCGCGGGUCCGGCAGCUCACGUCUCUGGUGGCGCGGGAGUCCCUCAACGCACCCUUCCUGGAAUCACGAGGACACCAGUGUGCAUGCACGGGGAAGAGACCGGUCUCCCGAGGAGAGGCGCGUUGGGCUUUUAAACAGCGGCGGUGAUGAGGCUCCAUUUCCUUCAGGUGUGCCCCAUCACACGCCGCCAGCCCUGACUCGUCCAGCGCCCCUCCUCUCUCACACACCCACUCCUGUCGGGAGCCUGGUGAAGGGCGGUGAUUUAGGACGGGGUGCCGGUGAUUAUCAGGGAGGAGGCAGCUGACUCGUCACACCUGCACCCCAGCAGAGUCGGAGCAGAACUCCUGUAGGACAACAUCUCCAGGACACUACACUCCAUAUGACUAAUGAUUCCUGACCUUAAAAGCAUCCUAUUUCAGAAAUGGAUUGGAUUUUGGAUUCCCAAAACUAGGUAUCAUUACGACAAUCACAAGUGCAAUGCUGUACCAGGAGAGCCGCUGUGCAAGUUUACUACAGUACAUCAGAAAAGCCAUACAGUACAUGGAGCAGAUUAUGUGAUGCAACCAUUGCAAACCAUUCAUCAUGGUAGAAGUGUAAGGAACCAUGCAAAAAUAAGCCUUUAUGGUGUUUCACUGCCAGUGCUCAUUUCAGCUAGAAACUGCAGUUAAUUGUAUGUAUACAGUAAAUACAGUACAGUUUUGCAAAAAAAAAAGUUAAAAAAAAUUUUCAGUGAAUUUAUGUUGCAACCAACACAAAAUAUUGACAAGACGUUUCCCUCAAUUUUUCUUUAUUUCUUCUCACACAUCACAUAUCUCAUAUUUCAUAUCAAUCAUGCACUUUACUGGUGAUGUUGUUUUCUUUGGCAAAACAAAUACACUACACUGUAACAUUUCUAAUUAAUAGUGUAGUGUGGUAUAAACAAUGCCAACAAC